Molecule: ribosomal RNA, 433 nt
Filed under: uncultured bacterium
Lineage: Bacteria
Description: partial 16S ribosomal RNA
Rfam family: Bacterial small subunit ribosomal RNA
Source: RNAcentral
AACGAACGCUGGCGGCAUGCCUAACACAUGCAAGUCGAACGAGACCUUCGGGUCUAGUGGCGCACGGGUGCGUAACGCGUGGGAACCUGCCCUUAGGUUCGGAAUAACUCCCCGAAAGGGGUGCUAAUACCGGAUAAUGUCUUCGGACCAAAGAUUUAUCGCCUUUGGAUGGGCCCGCGUUGGAUUAGCUAGUUGGUAGGGUAAAAGCCUACCAAGGCGACGAUCCAUAGCUGGUCUGAGAGGAUGAUCAGCCACACUGGGACUGAGACACGGCCCAGACUCUUACGGGAAGCAGCAGGGGGGAAUAUUGGACGAUGGGCGAAAGCCUGAGCCAGCAAUGCCGUGUGAGUGAUGAAGGCCGUAGGGUGGUAAAGCUCUUUUACCCGGGAUGAUAAUGACAGUACCGGGAGAAUAAGCUCCGGCUAACUCCGUG